UUACGGCCACAUCACGUUGAAACACCGGUUCUCGUACGAUCACCGAAGUUAAGCAACGUCAAGCCUAGUAAGUACUGAGAUGGUAACCAUUUGAGAAUACCAGGUGCUGUAA
This is a non-coding RNA of Acanthosepion pharaonis, 112 nucleotides long. The record is from the annotation of a GenBank genome assembly. Lineage: Eukaryota; Metazoa; Mollusca; Cephalopoda; Sepiida; Sepiidae.